Long non-coding RNA from Symphalangus syndactylus (siamang), 539 nucleotides. RefSeq lists it as uncharacterized. The record is from RefSeq and is a predicted model, not a curated record. Lineage: Eukaryota; Metazoa; Chordata; Mammalia; Primates; Hylobatidae.
ACACCGGUGGGCGGGGCGAGCGGGGUCUUGCGGAGAGGCGCCGAGCCUGCGCCGGAGCCGCGCUCUCUGCGCGUGCGCGACGCCUUGUCUGCUGAAAGAUUAGCCACAUGUGGGGUUCUCGCUGCCUUCUGGGAGGUUUUAUACGCUCCCUCGAAGCGCGUCGGUUGCUGCUGCGUACCCAGCCAGGCCCAUUUUGGAGCCCGCCCAGAGCUUUGCUGACUCACGCCGGUCCCUGACUCUCAGAAGCCCACUGCUCAGUGCUUUGCUUUCGCGGGUCCCCAGACCCUACGGGCUCCUGAGCCUGAUGGCCAGCGCCACCCGCCUCCCCGCCGCGACCGCCUUUUCACUGUAUAAUUCAGCCGACCUUUGUGAAUUAAGCCCAUUCAGUUCUUCCACCACCCCAGGGCACGACCAAAUCCACCGCCAAAGGGCAAGAAAGCCGGGACAACGUGGCCUGUAUAAAUUAUUCCCUGCCUACACCCAGAGCAGACUUCCCUGCACUCAGCAAAUGCCAAUAAAAGGCUAUUUCCUUUCACCGA